AACCAGCACCUCAAGUGGUCAGGAUGAUUAUUGGGCCUAAAGCAUCCGUAGCCGGCUCUGUAAGUUUUCGGUUAAAUCUGUACGCUUAACGUACAGGCUGCCGGGAAUACUGCAGAGCUAGGUAGUGGGAGAGGUAGACGGUACUCGGUAGGAAGGGGUAAAAUCCUUUGAUCUAUUGAUGACCACCUGUGGCGAAGGCGGUCUACCAGAACACGUACGACGGUGAGGGAUGAAAGCUGGGGGAGCAAACCGGAUUAGAUACCCGGGUAGUCCCAGCUGUAAACUAUGCAAACUCAGUGAUGCAUUGGCUUGUGGCCAAUGCAGUGCUGCAGGGAAGCCGUUAAGUUUGCCGCCUGGGAAGUACGUACGCAAGUAUGAAACUUAAAGGAAUUGGCGGGGGAGCACCACAAGGGGUGAAGCCUGCGGUUCAAUUGGAGUCAACGCCAGAAAUCUUACCCGGAGAGACAGCAGAAUGAAGGUCAAGCUGAAGACUUUACCAGACAAGCUGAGAGGUGGUGCAUGGCCGUCGCCAGCUCGUGCCGUGAGAUGUCCUGUUAAGUCAGGUAACGAGCGAGAUCCCUGCCUCUAGUUGCCACCAUUACCCUCAGGAGUAGUGGGGCGAAUUAGCGGGACCGCCGCAGUUAAUGCGGAGGAAGGAAGGGGCCACGGCAGGUCAGUAUGCCCCGAAACUCUGGGGCCACACGCGGGCUGCAAUGGUAACGACAAUGGGUUUCGAAUUCGAAAGGAUGAGGUAAUCCUCAAACGUUACCACAGUUAUGACUGAGGGCUGCAACUCGCCCUCACGAAUAUGGAAUCCCUAGUAACUGCGUGUCACUAUCGCGCGGUGAAUACGUCCCUGCUCCU
This 864-nucleotide ribosomal RNA is filed under the name uncultured archaeon. RNAcentral's name for it is "SSU rRNA". It matches the Rfam family "Archaeal small subunit ribosomal RNA", at positions 474 to 1337 of the family's 1478-position model. The record is from RNAcentral.